CAGGCACACAUAAGUUGGAGCAAGCCCACCUGGUUCCCAGCACGAGGCCCCCACCUGCCUUCCUAGCUUUACCAGAGAGGACAAGAAAGAGCAGGGACUCCGGUCCACGGAAGAUACCACCCACGUUCAGGACGAGUAUCCUUCCUCAGCUGUGGGAGGUGUUCGUCAUCGGUGCCCCGCCCACUCUACACACGAGGAUCUGAGGGUUCCAGACUCCCAAACACACGUGCUAACAUGACGAAGCUGCAGCCUGGGAAGCAGGCUUUCUUCCCAAGUCCACGGUGAACAAGAGGCAGACCUUCUCCGUCCUCGUCCACAUGCUACACAACUGCACACUGGAGGAGCCCAGUAAGCGCCAAAGGCAAGUCAGGUUGGUCUUUGCUUUCUUGGCUCUAGCAUGUUUUGAAUACACUCUUAUAUAAGGGGAUGGUUGACUACAAGGAGUGAGUUCAUGUGUGAUGGCCAGGCUGCUCUUCACAGCUCUUUAGCUGCCCCUGUCAACUUUGGAUGUGGUUAGGAAGGCCAAGUGCGGGAUCUACAGUCAAGCUGCAAGCUCACGAGCCCUCUUCCCUUCUUUCCCUUGAAUCUGUUUCUCACCGCUAUGGCCUACGUUCAAGCUCUCAGAUGGAGAAACGGCCCUUGAACAGUUGGCAGUACACCAAGAAGAAGGUGUGUGGUUUGGAUAUUGAGUUGUCCUAUCUACAUCAUGUAGCUAGCUCUCAUUGAGCAGUGCCAACCAAGCACCCGGGAUCGAGUUUGAUGUUUAGUCCCCAGAAGACACCAGGAAAGAAAGUUGGUUACAAGGACCUUCUGUGUGCUUCCGCUGUGGCUGCUGUUACCCUGGUCUAAUGGAGGCCUGCCCCAAGAGCCUGGGAUCCAUCAAGUCGGUCAUCCUCUUCUCAUCCCUAAGCCCACCCUGGCAACCUUGCCUCAUUCCCACAUCCAAUCUGUUCCUUACCUGGUCCUUGUCCACCCUGGACUUGUAAGAUACAGCCAGACAAUAGAAAACAGAAUUCAGGCACACACAUGGGGACAAAAAAAAUUAUGAAAAUGAAACGUAAAUAAAUAUGGAUGCUGAGGACCUAA
Non-coding RNA from Cricetulus griseus (Chinese hamster), 1086 nucleotides. The record is from RefSeq and is a predicted model, not a curated record. NCBI's taxonomy places the organism in Eukaryota, Metazoa, Chordata, Mammalia, Rodentia, Cricetidae.